Long non-coding RNA from Acinonyx jubatus (cheetah), 775 nucleotides. RefSeq lists it as uncharacterized. Lineage: Eukaryota; Metazoa; Chordata; Mammalia; Carnivora; Felidae. The record is from RefSeq and is a predicted model, not a curated record. The transcript has 3 exons.
CGUACCGGACAAGAGGGCAGUUGGAAGGGGAUGAUCCGAACGUCAGACGGCGGCAUGGACCGUCCGCCCUACUCCCCACAGUGUCUCGUUCUCGGUCCGGAGCCAGACGUGGGUUGGGCGGGACCCAAAAGGAAGCCCCAUCAACAGGCCCUCGAUCUCGGUGAGCGGCGCUGGCUUGUCGGGAACGGUGAAGAACCUGCCACGUUGUUUUUUGGCCACGGGCACCUCUGUUCGCUGCUUCUGAGAACCUUCAGGCAGGGACGGGCGGUCCCGUUAGAGGUCCGUGUUGCUCUCCACUGCAAAUUGUGUCCUUGUUGAGGCACACAUCGGAGCCGCUGGGGAGCUCCAGAAGCAUCUGCGGACACGGGGCACCCAGGGGACCCCAGGCUGCUGUCCCCACAUUAACCUGGACGCCCCGAGGCAGAGGAUGUUAAGAAAGAAGAUGGGGGGUUGAGUCCCGGAGGCCCCAACUUUCAACUCCAAGACCUUGGACAGAUAGAUCAAACUCACAAGCCGUGUGUGUCCUCAUUUGAAAACCGCAAAUAAUACUUAGCCUGCUUCCCCGUUGAAUUUGGUAACAGUGUCUGGAAAAGGAAGUAAUGGACCCCAGCGCUCUGCACGUGCCAAGCCAUGGGUUAUUUCUGUCGUCUGCACGUGGCCUUCCCGCCUCUUCCCUGCCCUCGCCCACCUGUCCGCCGGGCGUCCCGCCGGCCUGGAGGUGGGAGUUUGUCUCAGGUCGCCCGGGGUCCCCUCGUGCCCCGAUCAGAGCUGUCGG